Non-coding RNA from Salmo salar (Atlantic salmon), 54 nucleotides. Lineage: Eukaryota; Metazoa; Chordata; Actinopteri; Salmoniformes; Salmonidae. The record is from Rfam.
UGGAAAUAAGUUUGUAAGUCACUCUGGAUAAAAGCGUCUGCUAAAUGACGUAAA